RNAcentral lists this ribosomal RNA (468 nucleotides) under uncultured bacterium. RNAcentral describes it as "partial 16S ribosomal RNA". It matches the Rfam family "Bacterial small subunit ribosomal RNA", at positions 28 to 507 of the family's 1533-position model. The record is from RNAcentral.
GACGAACGCUGGCGGCGUGCUUAACACAUGCAAGUCGAACGGAAAGGCCCUGCUUUUGUGGGGUGCUCGAGUGGCGAACGGGUGAGUAACACGUGAGUAACCUGCCCUUGACUUUGGGAUAACUUCAGGAAACUGGGGCUAAUACCGGAUAGGAGCUCCUGCUGCAUGGUAGGGGUUGGAAAGUUUCGGCGGUUGGGGAUGGGCUCGCGGCUUAUCAGCUUGUUGGUGGGGUAGUGGCUUGCCAAGGCUUUGACGGGUAGCCGGCCUGAGAGGGUGACCGGCCACAUUGGGACUGAGAUACGGCCCAGACUCCUACGGGAGGCAGCAGUGGGGAAUAUUGCACAAUGGGCGGAAGCCUGAUGCAGCAACGCCGCGUGCGGGAUGACGGCCUUCGGGUUGUAAACCGCUUUCGCCUGUGACGAAGCGUGAGUGACGGUAAUGGGUAAAGAAGCACCGGCUAACUACGUG